CUUUUGAGGCUAUACCACGUACUUUGACUCAGAAUUGCGGGGUGAAUGUGAUUAGAACAAUGACGGCGCUGCAGGGAAAGGUUUGAAUCUGUUUUGUAUGGCUUGGUUCAGUUUUUUUUAUGAUUUGUCAUUUGUAUAUACGUUCUGAUGCAUCAUUAUUAUUUUCGUCAGAAUGGCACAUGCAUCAUUGAUAUCCUCACCACAAUUUUUUUUCCAUAGCAUGCAAAUGGUGAAAAUGCAUGGAUUGGCAUUGAUGGUAACACUGGUGUGAUAACUGAUGUGAAAGAGAAAAAGGUAGGUGGAUAUCUUGUUGGCUUACUAUUUGUUGAUGCUCAAAAUGGCUCGGCCACUAUUUGAGUCCAACUUAGUGAUUAGAGGUACUAGGUCUUCAGCAGGGAAGAAGGCUGAAGCCCUUGGAUGAAAUGGAUUGGUAAGACCUGCAGAAGGUAAGAAGAGGAGAAGCAACCGUAAAGCUUCGGACACCGGUGUGGUGCCGGCCGAAGGCUCUCCGAUGCCUAAGUCAGUUACAGAUAGUAAUUCUGGCAGAGUAACAGUGAAAGUAGGGGAAUGGUCUCUCUGUUUUACCUGGGUAUCGUUCCCUAUUUAUAGGGAGGUGAAAGUGGGAGCUUUGCACAAAGUUCCAAUGUGGGACUUUGUGCAAGCUAUUGUGGUGGCGACACGUGUCCUGGAGAUUAGGUUUGGCAUUUGGGAGCUUCGGCAGGAGUCUGGCACCUCGGAAGUGUGUCUUCCUUCGGCAUGGGAGAAGGCGUGGUUGCCUUGGUGCUAGUCGCUUUGAUGCUGGGACUGCUCGGUUCAUUAUGGUGUAAACACUAUUGUUGCUCUCUUUUAUUUCCUUCACUAUCUCAAUAUUCAAAUUUGUUGGCUGAUUUAUAUUUGCUGAAAGCUCUGAAAUAGGACUUUUAAUGUUGUCAAAUGUAUCCAUUAUAUGUCCCUUUAUUGAUAUGGCAUAAGCGUCAAUAUUCUGGUUCAUAUUGUCGAUUUGCUUCAGUAGUAGUUCUAGUUUAGAGCUUCUCCCAAUAUAUUUCGACAGCACUCAUGUGAGGGGAAGUGCUGUUGUCGUGGUUAUUACUAAAUUUCCCAAUAAAUUUAUUUUGUUGGUAAGGCUGUUGAUUUAUAGGAAUUAUGAUGUCAGAUAUGGGAUGCCUACAACGUGAAGGCCCAGAGUUUUAAAACGGCCAUAGAAGCUGCUUGCCUACUUCUCAAAAUCGAUGACAUUGUGAGUGGGAUGAAGAAGAAGCAGCCUCCUGGUGCCAAAGCUCCUUCGAAGCCUCAAGUUGAGACAGAAGGCGAUGCAGAUAAUGAGCAAAUAAUUCCGGAGUGAUUAUCGAGAGCACGUGGUUUUCUCAGUUUGAAUGAAGUUUUGCUUUAAAGAAGAAAAAAAGGAGCAUUAUAAGUUUGAUGAGGAUAUUUUUUAGGUUUGUAAUGUCACCUUAACUUGGUAGUG
This 1465-nucleotide long non-coding RNA is filed under the name Prunus dulcis (almond). Its description in RNAcentral is "sRNA ncRNA". The record is from RNAcentral. Lineage: Eukaryota; Viridiplantae; Streptophyta; Magnoliopsida; Rosales; Rosaceae.